AGGAGUUACAUUCAUAAGAGGCACCAAGAGGUAAACAGUAUGUGUCUCAUCCCUUGACAGAAAUCUUCAGAUUUGCUUAACUUCAUGCAUCUGAGAAUUUCCAGUUUAUCUACAAAAUAUUUGAGAAUGACUCCAGGCUGUCCCUGUGCACUGUCAAUGCAGAUUUUGAGACGUUCGUACACACACAGUGCCCAUAUGGGCUGUGCAUGUGCUGAAAUCCUUGAUUUACCGCAUGAAGUGAUUGUCCGUGGUGUGAGGAGAAGAGUCGCGGUACUUGCCCAAUGGAUGCUGUUAAAUACAAGGGCAAACUGGUCUGCCUGGGAAAUCCUGAGCAAAAUAUAGAGCUUUGGGGACUUCUGAUUUGCACGGAGUUAGCAAGUGAAGUAGCCCAUUUCUCACAACACAACUUUUUAUUAUGAUUAAGCACAAAGUAUUAACACAAUUUAUGUAUUUAUUGUGAACAUAAGCACGUAUUAUGUCUUUGUUUCUGGGUUACUGAUGAAAAUUACUGUUCCUGAAUAGUGUGGUUGAAAGAUGAAUGGUGUUCACAGCGUGUCUGUUGAGUAUUUAAGAUAAUCAUGGUAAUGGUUUUAGUCUAACACUAGCACAAAUUAAAGCAUUACCAUGAUAAAUGAAUAGUUGCUGAAUAAAGUGUGACUUCCUCCCAGUAAGUCUGCUGUUUGUUCAUAGUAGAAAAGCUCUAAGUAAAGAAAAUAUAUUAAGUCUGAGAGAAGACGGAUGAAAGCAUUAUCUUAGAUCUCAAACCAGGACUUUCAUACCUAGGAUGGCCUAAAAACUGAACAAAACAAAGCAAAUGAAAACCUAAAGCAACAAAAGAAAGCUAUUUGAUACCAAUCAUCCUGAACAGCAACAUCUGAAAUUAUUACCGUAUGUGUCAUUUUACUCGGUGUUGGUUUGUUAUCUCUGUGAGCACUAGCAUGUCUAAAGACUUUAUCUUCUGUGAAAAUUUGUGGCCUGCACUACACAGUGUGUUAGUUACCAAGACAGCAAGUCUCAGACUUAUACAUUUGUCGUCUUAUUUGUGGCUGUGAUUUCCAAUGUGUUGUGUCCAACUACUGCAUGGUCAUUAAAAACAAA
This 1098-nucleotide long non-coding RNA is filed under the name Gallus gallus (chicken). Lineage: Eukaryota; Metazoa; Chordata; Aves; Galliformes; Phasianidae. The record is from RNAcentral.